CCUGCCUUCAGACCUUCAGAGGUGUCCAGAAUCUGGAACUUCCAGCCUCAACCCUUCCAGGCCCAUGUCCUGGGCUGUCUAAAGCCCCAGUCACACAAUCAAAUGACCCAGCUUCUGAAGGAGCAAGAGGGAAGCAGGGCGAGGUGCCAGGCAAGAGCGAGUUCUGCCCCUUUUUAAUCACAAAUCUCUGAAUGAGCACACACAUUCCUGAAUGUUUCACAACUGGUCUUCCUGGAAAAACAGCCCGGAUGUGUUGCCUUGGAGACAGUGAACCCACCAAGCAGGAGGAGGCCCCACGGGCCAGUGCCAUCGAAGCAGAAUGAAGAAGGCUUGUUUCUGCCCUACAGAGCACUGUGUGGCUAGGGAGACACGCAAGGUUCUCACUUCAAACAACGGGGGAAUGAUCUCUGUGACAUUCCACAAUGGGAGAUGUGGCCACGACACUCCCUGAGGCAGUGAACCACAGAUAAUUAAAGGAUGUAGGGAUAAGUGACAAGACCCCAGAGUCUCCCAAGGGCCCUUCUCCGGUUUGGCUGGUUUACCCAGGCGCCUCUUGGCUCAGUCACUCCCGCUCCUGGAAUUCCUUUCCAAGGACAGGAAGAGGGAAAAGAGCGACGGGGAAGAUUCCAGACUGUCCCUUCCACCAUUCUCCCUCUGACUUCAGGCUGCACCCCACAAACCCGUGGCUCACCUCCUGCAAAUCUCUUCACUCUGCCCAGCCUAGUUUCCUGAAUCACAUGACUAUUCCCUUCCUUCACGGCCAUGCCAGUAUUAAUAUGCCUGUGCUCCUUCCCUGAUGACCUGCAAACUGACAGGUGAAUCUGUGUGUGGGGCCCUGUCUGUGUAUCACCUGCUAGUAGGACUUCAGACUACUGUUGUGGCAAUCAGGAGUGACAACAGGCAUGGACAGCCUGCCGGCCCAGUUCCACCAGCAGGUGUGACUUGUUCACUACGGUUCUGCGUCUUGAAUGUGGGAGCAAGUGUGCUGUGGGGGGCAGGUACCUCUGCGGCACUCGGUCCCCCGAUGUUCUUAAUGCAAUGCUCGUGUACCUUAUCACGCAAGAGACACUGUAAAUGUCAGCUAAGAACACAGGACUCUGGACUCCCUGGGUUUGAAUCCUAGCUCUCUGGCCGUGGGCAAGAUACUUAAAAGCACAUCUGCAAUACAAGGAAGAAAAUACACUUAUUGAACCCUGGCUGUGCACUGGCAGCUGUUUCUUCAUUUCCAUAACGACCCUUGUAGGUAAGUGUCAUUCAGACCCUCACAGGGGGCUUCAUGGGCCAAACAAGACAACGGGUGCACAGUGAGUGGUCAAUAAACAUGAGUUAUUUGCUAUUUAUUUACCUCACUAAUGUCUAAGUUAGGCCAUUGAAGUAGUUUUAUUAAAGAAAGUUAGAACUAAAAAGGAUUUGACAAAUGAAUGGCCCAGAUUUUACUGAAAAACCAGGGAGAGAGGGAGAGAGGGAGACAGAGGGAGAGAGAGAGAGAGAGAGAGAGAUUUGCCUAGAGCCAUCCCAUCUAGGGGUCCAGAGGCAGAGCUGAGAUGAAAACCCAGGAACCUGCUUGAGGGCCAUAACAUACUUGACACUAAGAGAUCAAGUCAGCCUGGUGCUGGGUUUGGCUUCAGCACAGUUUCCAGGGAAUAGUGUAAACAGCAUUUCCAAGGCACAUUGACAGAGAAUGAAGAUCUGUGGUUGGCAGGGAACCUCUUUGGAGAAUUGUCUCCUGAAGGCCAGACACCAUAGCAGAUUGGUGUUCCUGACAUCCCUCCCUGGUGCCCCUCAUAGAGCCCCAGCCCAGAUGGGGAGUUAGGUUACAGAAGUUCUAUGUGCAACCACCUGGCUUAUCCUUCCUAGUUGUGACAUCUAAGCUCAUUCCUUCCCCCAUCUUGGAACCUCAGUUUCCCCAGAACUUGCUCCCCAAAAUGAAUUCGUGCCUGACAAUGAUUCAUCGGAGCAUCUGGUGUUACAGCCCCUGGCAAGAACGGCCAUCAUCUUCUUUUCUGACCCAGGGAUUCAGGGAUGCUGGGCCCCUGGCUUUGAUGGUUUUGGGGCCGUGAACUGAGUUUCCAAGGAACCAGUCAUCCAGAUACCCCCUAAGCAGUAAGAGCCGAGACCAUAGCCCUUCAUUAGUCCCUGAAACACAGCCAUUCCAGAAUGUAUCUGAUUGCUAACCCACUCUAGUCUCACCACCUGAGAAACUGAUCCUCUAAGAAGAAAAUGGGGCCCCAGUGCCGUCUCUGCGACCCCACCUUCCCAGGGCCUCCCCCAUGCUGGCGUGAUCCAGGUGGAGCCCUGACACAGGAGUGACAUCUGAGUUUGAACCCUCUGUCUUCAGUCCAACACCCACUUUUUCUGGGCAGUGAGGAAGCUGGAAUGUGACAUCUCUAAGGCCCUCUUUGUGGCAUUGCCUCUGUAACUCUAGUAACUGCCUCUCCCAAAGGUAGAGAGCAUUGUGAGACUGAAAUGGAGUAACCUAUAAUUAAAACAUUUUAAAGCCUGG
This is a long non-coding RNA of Mesocricetus auratus (golden hamster), 2503 nucleotides long. RefSeq lists it as uncharacterized. The record is from RefSeq and is a predicted model, not a curated record. The transcript is spliced from 3 exons. Lineage: Eukaryota; Metazoa; Chordata; Mammalia; Rodentia; Cricetidae.